RNAcentral lists this ribosomal RNA (497 nucleotides) under uncultured bacterium. RNAcentral describes it as "partial 16S ribosomal RNA". It matches the Rfam family "Bacterial small subunit ribosomal RNA", at positions 28 to 507 of the family's 1533-position model. The record is from RNAcentral.
GAUGAACGCUGGCGGCGUGCCUAAUACAUGCAAGUCGAGCGAACGGACGAGAAGCUUGCUUCUCUGAUGUUAGCGGCGGACGGGUGAGUAACACGUGGAUAACCUACCUAUAAGACUGGGAUAACUUCGGGAAACCGGAGCUAAUACCGGAUAAUAUUUUGAACCGCAUGGUUCAAAAGUGAAAGACGGUCUUGCUGUCACUUAUAGAUGGAUCCGCGCUGCAUUAGCUAGUUGCUAAGGUAACGGCCUACCAAGGCAACGAUGCAUGGACGACCUGGUAGAGUGAUCGGCCACCCUGGAACGGGAACGCGGUCAAUACUCCUACGGGAGGGCGCAGUAGGGAAUCUUCCGCAGUGGGCGAAAGCCUGACGGAGCAACGCCGCGUGAGUGAUAAAGGUCUUCGGAUCGUAAAGCUCUGUUAUUAGGGAAGAACCUAUGUGUAAGUAAAUGUGGACAUCUUGACGGUACCUAAUCAGAAAGCAACGGCUAACUACGUG